GCACGAGUAAUUCUACCGAACACGUGACUUUUAAUCACGGGGUCCUGGGUUCGAGCCCCAGCGCGCUCACCA
Molecule: transfer RNA, 72 nt
Filed under: Bradyrhizobium nanningense
Lineage: Bacteria; Pseudomonadati; Pseudomonadota; Alphaproteobacteria; Hyphomicrobiales; Nitrobacteraceae
Description: Bradyrhizobium sp. CCBAU 53390 tRNA-Lys
Rfam family: tRNA
About the family: Transfer RNA (tRNA) molecules are approximately 80 nucleotides in length.
Source: RNAcentral